UACGUAGGUGGCAAGCGUUGUCCGGAUUUAUUGGGUUUAAAGGGUGCGUAGGCGGCCCUGUAAGUCAGUGGUGAAAUACGGCAGCUCAACUGUCGAGGUGCCAUUGAUACUGCAGGGCUUGAGUACAGACGAGGUAGGCGGAAUUGACGGUGUAGCGGUGAAAUGCUUAGAUAUCGUCAAGAACACCGAUAGCGAAGGCAGCUUACUAGGCUGUAACUGACGCUGAGGCACGAAAGUGUGGGGAUCAAACAGG
This 253-nucleotide ribosomal RNA is filed under the name uncultured bacterium. RNAcentral describes it as "partial 16S ribosomal RNA". It matches the Rfam family "Bacterial small subunit ribosomal RNA", at positions 524 to 776 of the family's 1533-position model. The record is from RNAcentral.